This is a long non-coding RNA of Mastomys coucha (southern multimammate mouse), 482 nucleotides long. RefSeq lists it as uncharacterized. Lineage: Eukaryota; Metazoa; Chordata; Mammalia; Rodentia; Muridae. The transcript is spliced from 3 exons. The record is from RefSeq and is a predicted model, not a curated record.
UCCAGAGCAGCUCCCGUGUUCCCAGAUUCUGAGCUGGGUGGGCCAUGAUAGAUGCUGGCCUGACCAGUUCUCCUAGACCCUGGGCCUCUAAAGGCCUGGCUCUGCCAGGAAGUCCAACUGCAUGAGCAAUUCUCCCAGCCUGGUGGUAGCGGUUGGUUCCAGUUUGUGGUCUUUGUAAAACUUGAAAAACCAUUCCUUGUCUGACGUUUGAGAGAUACCAGCUACCAGCUGGCUGGCUACCCUCCUCAAAAGCCUGAGGCCUGGUAUUUCCGAAAUGCUUCACCAUGUUUCCCUCCAAGAGACGUUUCCUUGCAGUGCUGGGGCUGGACCUGGGUCUUGUACUUGCAGGCAAGUGCACUACCACUCAGCUAUAUGUCCUUCUACUGUGUGUAAUGGCCAAGAGGCAGCUCCUAUGGGGGACAGGCAGCCAGAGGCUGUGGUGAACACCGGACACAAGCUGUGUGCAGACACAUGUGACAGGG